This 490-nucleotide ribosomal RNA is filed under the name uncultured rumen bacterium. RNAcentral describes it as "bacterial SSU rRNA". It matches the Rfam family "Bacterial small subunit ribosomal RNA", at positions 908 to 1395 of the family's 1533-position model. The record is from RNAcentral.
GAUUGACGGGGGCCGCACAAGCGGACGGAACAUGUGGUUUACUCGAUGAUACGAGAAGAACAUUAGCCGGGCUGAACUGCCAGCGAACGACUCAGAGAUGAUGAGCCCUUGGGGGCGGUGGUGGAGGUGCUGCAUGGUGUCGUCAGCUCGUGCCGUGAGGUGUCGGCUUAAGUGCCAUAACGAGCGCAACCCUUUUCUUUAGUUGCCAUCAGGUAAUGCUGGGCACUCUGGAGAUACAAGACCACAAGUAAGGUGUGAGGAAGGUGGGGAUGACGUCAAAUCAGCACGGCCCUUACGUCCGGGGCUACACACGUGUUACAAUGGGUGGUACAGAGAGUCAACCGCCGGCAACGUCGGUUUAAUCACUAAAGCCCACUCCCCAGUUCGGAUUGGGGUCUGCAACCCGACCCCAUGAAGCUGGAUUCGCUAGUAAUCGCGCAUCAGCCAUGGCGCGGUGAAUCACGUUCCCGGCCCUUGUCACACACCGCCC